This 395-nucleotide ribosomal RNA is filed under the name uncultured bacterium. Its description in RNAcentral is "partial 16S ribosomal RNA". The record is from RNAcentral.
ACGGGCGGUGUGUACAAGGCCCGGGAACGUAUUCACCGCGGCAUGCUGAUCCGCGAUUACUAGCGAUUCCGACUUCAUGCAGGCGAGUUGCAGCCUGCAAUCCGAACUGAGAACGGUUUUAUGGGAUUUGCUCCAUCUCGCGACUUCGCUGCCCUUUGUACCGCCCAUUGUAGCACGUGUGUAGCCCAGGUCAUAAGGGGCAUGAUGAUUUGACGUCAUCCCCACCUUCCUCCGGUUUGUCACCGGCAGUCACCUUAGAGUGCCCAACCAAAUGCUGGCAACUAAGUUCAAGGGUUGCGCNCGUUGCGGGACUUAACCCAACAUCUCACGACACGAGCUGACGACAACCAUGCACCACCUGUCACUCUGUCCCCGAAGGGAAAUGCCUAUCUCUA